This 494-nucleotide ribosomal RNA is filed under the name uncultured bacterium. RNAcentral's name for it is "partial 16S ribosomal RNA". It matches the Rfam family "Bacterial small subunit ribosomal RNA", at positions 30 to 507 of the family's 1533-position model. The record is from RNAcentral.
AUUGAACGCUGGCGGCAUGCUUUACACAUGCAAGUCGAACGGCAGCGGGGAGGAGCUUGCUUCUCUGCCGGCGAGUGGCGAACGGGUGAGUAAUACAUCGGAACGUGUCGAGAAGAGGGGGAUAACCACCCGAAAGGGUGGCUAAUACCGCAUAAAUUCUGAGGCAGAAAGCUGGGGACCUAGGAAUAGGCCUAGCGCUUUUUGAGCGGCCGAUGUCGGAUUAGCUAGUUGGUGAGGUAAAGGCUCACCAAGGCGAAGAUCUGUAGCGGGUCUGAGAGGAUGAUCCGCCACACUGGGACUGAGACACGGCCCAGACUCCUACGGGAGGUAGCAGUGGGGAAUUUUGGACAAUGGGGGCAACCCUGAUCCAGCCAUGCCGCGUGUAUGAAGAAGGCCUUAGGGUUGUAAAGUACUUUUGUUAGGGAAGAAAAGUCAGCUGUGAAUAAUGGCUGAUACUGACGGUACCUAAAGAAUAAGCACCGGCUAACUACGUG